RNAcentral lists this ribosomal RNA (644 nucleotides) under Microlinyphia dana. RNAcentral's name for it is "SSU rRNA". It matches the Rfam family "Eukaryotic small subunit ribosomal RNA", at positions 1144 to 1804 of the family's 1831-position model. Lineage: Eukaryota; Metazoa; Arthropoda; Arachnida; Araneae; Linyphiidae. The record is from RNAcentral.
UUAAAGGAAUUGACGGAAGGGCACCACCAGGAUUGGAGCCUGCGGCUUAAUUUGACUCAACACGCGAAAACUCACCCGGCCCGGACACAGGAAGGAUUGACAGAUUGAGAGCUCUUUCUUGAUUCUGUGGGUGGUGGUGCAUGGCCGCUCUUAGUUGGUGGAGCGAUUUGUCUGGUUAAUUCCGUUAACGAACGAGACUCUAGCCUACUAAAUAGACGUUCCGAUCCUCCGAGUCGGACGUUCUUCUUAGAGGGACAGGCGGCGUUUAGCCGCACGAAACAGAGCAAUAGCAGGUCUGUGAUGCCCUUUGAUGUCCGGGGCCGCACGCGCGCUACAUUGAAGGAACCAUCGUGUGCUUUCCCUGUCCGACAGGACUGGGUAACCCGUUGAACCUCCUUCGUGCUGGGGAUAGGCAAAUUGUAAUUAUUUUGCAUGAACGAGGAACUACCCAGUAAGCAUGAGUCAUCAGCUCAUGUUGAUUAUGUCCCUGGCCUUUGUUCACACCGCCCGUCGCUACUACCGAUUGAAUGAUUUAGUGAGGUCUUCGGACUGGCGCUCGGAUUGGCUUUCGGGUCGAGCCGACGUGCCGGAAAGAUGACCAACCUUGAUCACUUACAGGAAGUAAAAAUCGUAACAAGGUUUCC